RNAcentral lists this ribosomal RNA (472 nucleotides) under uncultured bacterium. RNAcentral describes it as "bacterial SSU rRNA". It matches the Rfam family "Bacterial small subunit ribosomal RNA", at positions 29 to 520 of the family's 1533-position model. The record is from RNAcentral.
AACGAACGCUGGCGGCAUGCCUUACACAUGCAAGUCGAACGGCAGCACGGGAGCAAUCCUGGUGGCGAGUGGCGAACGGGUGAGUAAUGUAUCGGAACGUACCUUUCAGUGGGGGAUAACGUAGCGAAAGUUACGCUAAUACCGCAUAUUCUGUGAGCAGGAAAGCAGGGGAUCGCAAGACCUUGCGCUGAUUGAGCGGCCGAUAUCAGAUUAGCUAGUUGGUGAGGUAAAGGCUCACCAAGGCGACGAUCUGUAGCGGGUCUGAGAGGAUGAUCCGCCACACUGGAACUGAGACACGGCCCAGACUCCUACGGGAGGCAGCAGUGGGGAAUCUUGGACAAUGGGCGCAAGCCUGAUCCAGCCAUGCCGCGUGAGUGAAGAAGGCCUUAGGGUUGUAAAGCUCUUUUACCAGGGACGAUAAUGACGGUACCUGGAGAAUAAGCCCCGGCAAACUUCGUGCCAGCAGCCGCGG